UACUCCGGGGAUAACAGGCUGAUACUGCCCAAGAGUCCAUAUCGACGGCAGUGUUUGGCACCUCGAUGUCGGCUCAUCUCAUCCUGGGGCUGAAGCAGGUCCCAAGGGUAUGGCUGUUCGCCAUUUAAAGAGGCACGCGAGCUGGGUUUAGAACGUCGUGAGACAGUUCGGUCCCUAUCUACCGUGGGCGUUGGAAAUUUGAGAGGAUCUGCUCCUAGUACGAGAGGACCAGAGUGGACGAACCUCUGGUGUUCGGGUUGUCACGCCAGUGGCAUUGCCCGGUAGCUAC
This 289-nucleotide ribosomal RNA is filed under the name Aplanochytrium stocchinoi. Its description in RNAcentral is "partial Bacterial large subunit ribosomal RNA". It matches the Rfam family "Bacterial large subunit ribosomal RNA", at positions 2464 to 2752 of the family's 2925-position model. The record is from RNAcentral. Lineage: Eukaryota; Bigyra; Thraustochytrida; Thraustochytriidae.